Capra hircus (goat) is the source of this 2142-nucleotide long non-coding RNA. RefSeq lists it as uncharacterized. NCBI's taxonomy places the organism in Eukaryota, Metazoa, Chordata, Mammalia, Artiodactyla, Bovidae. The record is from RefSeq and is a predicted model, not a curated record. The transcript is spliced from 3 exons.
UGGCUUUUCCCCUGCAGCUGGCUUCCCAUCGGCAGGUCCAUUAUGCUUCCUGCAGUGACAAAUACACUCCCCUGGAAAGCUGGUGAGGGUUUGUCUGCUGUUGCAGGUGUACCCCACUCAGGGGGCUGUCUGCUACCUGCCUAUCCCCUCCUUUCCAGAAUUCCUAGUCAAAUCUUCAGCCCCCAGUGGCCAGGACACCCUGAUUCGGAAAGGGCUGGCUGACCCGGAUCAAGAAGGCGGCUCCCCACAUGGGGGCCCACUGCCCCUGCCCCCCUGCCCGCCGCCCAGCCUCCUUCAUCUGGCUUGUGUGAUGUGCCUACUUUUCUAUGUGUAAAGUGACAUGAAACGCUGGGCAGCUGUGAUCCAGGCCACACAGGGAGGCAUCAUGUAUCAGGGUGAUGGCAAGAGUGUGGGCUUUGGCACGACAGCCCUGGAUUCAAAUUCUGGCACGGAGACUUCCUUGCUGGGUGACACCAGGCAAGCUAGUGUCUCUCUCCGACCUUCAGUGCCCCCUCCUCCAGGUAUGAAAACUAUGAUAAGAGCACCCGCCCUCUGGGAAGCGGGUAAGGACUCUGCCAGUCGUGUUCGUUUGCUGCUGAAAGGGUGACCUUUGCUGUACUUCUCUCAAUGCUGUCAGUUUAGGUAAAGCUCCGGCUCAGGGCGAAUGCUCCGGAAGCGAGGCUGUCUCAGUGAUCAGGGCGCUCCAGGACCAGCAGGGAUGACUGGUGACACCGCUGGACUGCCUGCCCCUGCUCUCCACACUGAAGAUGCAUUACCUCACUUGACUCUAUAAGCUCAUCAAAGCCCUGUGUAAGAAGUGCCGUUGCGGUCAUCGCCAUCACCUGCCAGGACGCAGCACAGCAUGGUGGUUUAAGCAAAUGUGUGAGCGCAGCAGCUGGAUGACCUGAAUUCAAGUUCUGACUCCACUGAUAUGUGACCUUGAACUCUGUGGUUAUGUGACCUUGCUUCACUGACUCCAUGUACAAGACAGGAGCAAACAUAUCUCCCUCGAGCAUUGAAGAUCAUAUGCAGAGUAAGAAGAACACUACCAGCCAUAAGGACACUUCAGUCAUAACAGUAGCUAUUGUCAGUUAUAAAGAAGGAUACAGAAGGUCAAGGUCAAGGUCACCUAGCUGUCCAGUGCAGCAGGGUUUUAUCUCUAAGUCUGCAGACUUCAAAUCUUGGGUUUGGGGAUUAUCUUCUCAUCUUCCCCACCCUGUCCCCCUUGUCACCCUGUCUCCUAAUUAAUCUGUUCACGCCUCUGUCUGUCCUUCCACAUGGGGCUCUUCCAGAGCAGUAUCAGCACCAAGCCGUCUCCCCAGUGCCCGGACGGUGCCUGGCCACCGGGGGACUGUGUUGAAGGAAUGAUGCAUUCCAUGUACCAGGCAUCCUGCUCUGUGCUUCCACAUGGAUUAUUUUAUCUGUGCCUCCAGACCACUCUAUGAAGUAGAUAACAAUUCUUCUACAACUGUCUUGAGCUCCAAUAAAGCACUUAUCGGUCUGGAUACAUGUGAAUACUUGAGAAUUCAUCACACCCAGCCAAGACGACAAAUGUUUCCACCCUCCGUCCCCAAAAUGUCCCAUGCUUCUUGGAAAUCCCUCCCUCCCUCCAAUUGUAGAUUUCUCUCCAGUUUUGAGAUAGGGAAGGAAAUCAAGGGACUGAGAAGUUAGACUUCCCAGAGACACUUGGUCAGCAAGUGGCCACGCCAGUAUUUGAACCAAGAUGACCUGUCCCCGGCCAAGCUGCCUUGGCGGUAAUGGGAAGAGGGUGGGAGCAUGUGGUGGUCUGUAGAGACGUCCUCCCUCCUCACCGCCCCUGCUCAUUCAGGCCCAAGAAGACAAUCUAGGAAGAGACGGUGGGUGCGUCUCUCAGAAGGGUGUGUGCACAUGUGAGGAGCAGGCUGCCACCCCAGAGGGAUGUUUGGGUACAAAGGGCAGACAACAAAGACAUCACAACGAGACCAGAUAAAGGUGUCCUCAAGCCAGGAGCCGGGCGAUGCGGUGAGCCUGCGGGCCUCAUGGUGGGUGCUGGGCUCGUGUGGGCGUGUGACUCUGUGACUGUGACCGUGUGACUGCUGAAGGCAGGGACAUAGCAGCUCCCAGAGCUAGGGGGGCGGAAGGCGUUAACUGUAUGAAUGCUGG